AUUGAACGCUGGCGGCAGGCCUAGCACAUGCAAGUCGAACGGUAACAGGAAACGGCUUGCUGUUUCGCUGACGAGUGGCGGACGGGUGAGUAAUGUCUGGGAAACUGCCUGAUGGAGGGGGAUAACUACUGGAAACGGUAGCUAAUACCGCAUAACGUCGCAAGACCAAAGAGGGGGACCUUCGGGCCUCUUGCCAUCGGAUGUGCCCAGAUGGGAUUAGCUAGUAGGUGGGGUAACGGCUCACCUAGGCGACGAUCCCUAGCUGGUCUGAGAGGAUGACCAGCCACACUGGAACUGAGACACGGUCCAGACUCCUACGGGAGGCAGCAGUGGGGAAUAUUGCACAAUGGGCGCAAGCCUGAUGCAGCCAUGCCGCGUGUAUGAAGAAGGCCUUCGGGUUGUAAAGUACUUUCAGCGGGGAGGAAGGGAGUAAAGUUAAUACCUUUACUCAUUGACGUUACCCGCAGAAGAAGCACCGGCUAACUCCGUG
This 490-nucleotide ribosomal RNA is filed under the name uncultured bacterium. RNAcentral's name for it is "partial 16S ribosomal RNA". It matches the Rfam family "Bacterial small subunit ribosomal RNA", at positions 30 to 507 of the family's 1533-position model. The record is from RNAcentral.